GACGAACGCUGGCGGCGUGCUUAACACAUGCAAGUCGAACGGAAAGGCCCUGCCUUUGUGGGGUGCUCGAGUGGCGAACGGGUGAGUAACACGUGAGUAACCUGCCCUUGACUUUGGGAUAACUUCAGGAAACUGGGGCUAAUACCGGAUAGGAGCUCCUGCUGCAUGGUGGGGGUUGGAAAGUUUCGGCGGUUGGGGAUGGACUCGCGGCUUAUCAGCUUGUUGGUGGGGUAGUGGCUUACCAAGGCUUUGACGGGUAGCCGGCCUGAGAGGGUGACCGGCCACAUUGGGACUGAGAUACGGCCCAGACUCCUACGGGAGGCAGCAGUGGGGAAUAUUGCACAAUGGGCGGAAGCCUGAUGCAGCAACGCCGCGUGCGGGAUGACGGCCUUCGGGUUGUAAACCGCUUUCGCCUGUGACGAAGCGUGAGUGACGGUAAUGGGUAAAGAAGCACCGGCUAACUACG
RNAcentral lists this ribosomal RNA (466 nucleotides) under uncultured bacterium. RNAcentral's name for it is "partial 16S ribosomal RNA". It matches the Rfam family "Bacterial small subunit ribosomal RNA", at positions 28 to 505 of the family's 1533-position model. The record is from RNAcentral.